Molecule: long non-coding RNA, 412 nt
Filed under: Physcomitrium patens
Lineage: Eukaryota; Viridiplantae; Streptophyta; Bryopsida; Funariales; Funariaceae
Description: long non-coding RNA (PPAT_LNC009576)
Source: RNAcentral
AUUGGAUAGGAUUUCUAUGAUAUUUGCAUAUCUACUAGUUAGAUCAAGCUUAAAUUUAGCAUGGUUUGAAGGACUUGAAGACCAAGUUGUACACCAAUUUUGAGUCAAAGUCAGCUGUUGGAAAAGGAGAAAUCACUAUUGGAAUUUUUGGUUUACUUUUCAAGUUGGCGGCCGAGUGACAUCAGUGCAAGUUUUGGGGGUUUUCUUACAAUCUAUAAGUUGGGUUGGAUUGAAAAUUCUUGAGCAUAUAGAAGACUUAUAUUGACAAUUGAAUGCAAAUUUUUACAUCAAGUGGACAAUCAAAUUAGUAGUUACAACUUAUUAAAGCUUACUAAUUAGGAUUAGAAUUUACAAGAAAAAUCUAAAUUGCUUAAAUAUAAAAGUAACAAGGUAAUUGGAAUUUAUGUAUGAU